RNAcentral lists this ribosomal RNA (797 nucleotides) under uncultured Porphyromonadaceae bacterium. Its description in RNAcentral is "bacterial SSU rRNA". It matches the Rfam family "Bacterial small subunit ribosomal RNA", at positions 8 to 795 of the family's 1533-position model. The record is from RNAcentral. Lineage: Bacteria; Pseudomonadati; Bacteroidota; Bacteroidia; Bacteroidales; Porphyromonadaceae.
AGAGUUUGAUUCUGGCUCAGGAUGAACGCUAGCGAUAGGCCUAACACAUGCAAGUCGAGGGGCAGCACAUGAAGUAGCAAUACGGAUGGUGGCGACCGGCGCACGGGUGAGUAACGCGUAUGCAACCUGCCUACAACAGGGGAAUAACCCGUUGAAAGACGGACUAAUACCCCAUAACGCAGGGAUCCCGCAUGGGAAUAUUUGUUAAAGAUUUAUCGGUUGUAGAUGGGCAUGCGUUCCAUUAGCUUGUUGGUGAGGUAACGGCUCACCAAGGCAACGAUGGAUAGGGGAACUGAGAGGUUUAUCCCCCACACUGGUACUGAGACACGGACCAGACUCCUACGGGAGGCAGCAGUGAGGAAUAUUGGUCAAUGGACGCAAGUCUGAACCAGCCACGUCGCGUGAAGGAAGACGGCCCUACGGGUUGUAACUUCUUUUGUAAGGGAAUAAAGUGUAGUACGUGUACUAUUUUGCAUGUACCUUACGAAUAAGGAUCGGCUAACUCCGUGCCAGCAGCCGCGGUAAUACGGAGGAUCCGAGCGUUAUCCGGAUUUAUUGGGUUUAAAGGGUGCGCAGGCGGGAGAUUAAGUCGGCGGUGAAAUUUUGCAGCUCAACUGUAAAAGUGCCUUCGAAACUGGUUUCCUUGAGUGUGGAUGAAGUAGGCGGAAUUUGUGGUGUAGCGGUGAAAUGCAUAGAUAUCACGAGGAACUCCGAUUGCGCAGGCAGCUUACUAAACCAUAACUGACGCUCAGGCACGAAGGCGUGGGGAUCAAACAGGAUUAGAUACCCUGGUAGUC